Molecule: long non-coding RNA, 501 nt
Organism: Phragmites australis (common reed)
Lineage: Eukaryota; Viridiplantae; Streptophyta; Magnoliopsida; Poales; Poaceae
Exons: 3
Source: RefSeq, a predicted model, not a curated record
CGGGCCUCCGGCGGACACGGCACAAGAAGCCCAUCGGCCAGCUCUGCGCCAUGGUGACAGGGGGAGGUGGGGACCGUCCUCCCGUGGGUGGCGGCUAGGAUAAUGGCCGCGCCUACGGUGAUCACGAAGACAGAUACUACUACAAGGACCAAUUGAGAAAACAUGGAGCCAUGGUCAACCAUAGGGUAAUGGCUUCAAGUGCGGGAUAUAGACAUUACAGAGGCCAUCCUACCAGAACCCUUCAAUCCAAAGCUAAAACAAACAAGCCUUGACUAAUGGAGAUUCUGCUGAGCCACCUCCACAGAAUUCCACUAGAAAAGGAUUUUCAAGUGCUUCCCACUUCCCGCAAUCAUUUCAAAACCUCAUGUCCCAGAAAGUCAUUACUGAUGGAACUAACAAGACUCUGUUGCUAUCUGCUCUAGCAGAACUGAGCUCUCUUAGUGCUCAUGACACAGAAGGGCCAAACAGAAGCCCUAAAAAGCAUUUGGAUGUUCAUUUUCA